CCUAGGGAGGCAGCAGUGGGGAAUAUUGGACAAUGGGCGCAAGCCUGAUCCAGCCAUGCCGCGUGAGUGAUGAAGGCCUUAGGGUUGUAAAGCUCUUUCACCGGAGAAGAUAAUGACGGUAUCCGGAGAAGAAGCCCCGGCUAACUUCGUGCCAGCAGCCGCGGUAAUACGAAGGGGGCUAGCGUUGUUCGGAAUUACUGGGCGUAAAGCGCACGUAGGCGGAUUAAUAAGUCAGGGGUGAAAUCCCGGGGCUCAACCUCGGAACUGCCUUUGAUACUGUUAAUCUGGAGUCCAGAAGAGGUGAGUGGAAUUCCGAGUGUAGAGGUGAAAUUCGUAGAUAUUCGGAGGAACACCAGUGGCGAAGGCGGCUCACUGGUCUGGUACUGACGCUGAGGUGCGAAAGCGUGGGGAGCAAACA
Molecule: ribosomal RNA, 418 nt
Filed under: uncultured prokaryote
Description: bacterial SSU rRNA
Rfam family: Bacterial small subunit ribosomal RNA
Source: RNAcentral